GCCUGGAAGCGCGGCCGUGAAGGAUCCGGCGGGAGCGGAAGGGGUGCCCUAUUGCUACGCGCCUAUUGCUGCGCGCCGCCCUCCGCUCGCCCUGCGCCCCCCUGCGCCUGCUCUGCCGCGACUUCCACGCCGAGGAGCUCUCCGUCUCCACCGUCGUCUCCCUGCUGGACUCCCUGGAGCCUGCCGCCGUCCGCAGAGUUGUUUUACGCUUCAACAACCUGGGGCUGGCGGGGCUGUGCGCAGUGCUGCCUCACCUCAGCCGCUUCCCCGCGCUGCGCAGCCUCAAGCUGCCCUACAGCAACGUGGACGUGCGCCGCACGGCCCCCGGCACGGACGCCGGCAUCCGCUGCUUGGCCGCUCACCUCCGGGCCCUGCCUGCCCUCAAGGAACUCGAUUUGUACUCCUCCAGGCUUUCUGGGAGACUCAGGCAGCUCCUGGGGUAAGCUGCCCGCUGGGGGAGGGACCCCAAAACCUUCACACGCUGCAGCGGGAGCUGUGCCGGCUGCUGGCGAGCGCGGGUAGAGCAGACGCCGUGUGGGCGACCAGCCUCCAGCGCUACGGAGCCAUCGACUAGUUCAGCUUGUAGCAUCCCCCCCCCAGGGAAGCUUCACCUCGGGGCGCUGUGCCGGGCUCUGGGCUGUGCCACUCGGUUAUGGUGAGUUCAUUAAAGCCAACCCCACCUUGCCCGAUUAA
Colius striatus (speckled mousebird) is the source of this 693-nucleotide long non-coding RNA. RefSeq lists it as uncharacterized. The record is from RefSeq and is a predicted model, not a curated record. NCBI's taxonomy places the organism in Eukaryota, Metazoa, Chordata, Aves, Coliiformes, Coliidae. The transcript has 2 exons.